Molecule: ribosomal RNA, 497 nt
Filed under: uncultured bacterium
Lineage: Bacteria
Description: partial 16S ribosomal RNA
Rfam family: Bacterial small subunit ribosomal RNA
Source: RNAcentral
GAUGAACGCUGGCGGCGUGCCUAAUACAUGCAAGUCGAGCGAACGGACGAGAGGCUUGCUUCUCUGAUGUUAGCGGCGGACGGGUGAGUAACACGUGGAUAACCUACCUAUAAGACUGGGAUAACUUCGGGAAACCGGAGCUAAUACCGGAUAAUAUUUUGAACCGCAUGGUUCAAAAGUGAAAGACGGUCUUGCUGUCACUUAUAGAUGGAUCCGCGCUGCAUUAGCUAGUUGGUAAGGUAACGGCUUACCAAGGCAACGAUGCAUAGCCGACCUGAGAGGGUGAUCGGCCACACUGGAACUGAGACACGGUCCAGACUCUUACGGGAGGCAGCAGUAGGGAAUCUUCCGCAAUGGGCGAAAGCCUGACGGAGCAACGCCGCGUGAGUGAUGAAGGUCUUCGGAUCGUAAAACUCUGUUAUUAGGGAAGAACAUAUGUGUAAGUAACUGUGCACAUCUUGACGGUACCUAAUCAGAAAGCCACGGCUAACUACGUG